GUAGGUGGCAAGCGUUGUCCGGAAUUAUUGGGCGUAAAGCGCGCGCAGGCGGUUCUUUAAGUCUGAUGUGAAAGCCCACGGCUCAACCGUGGAGGGUCAUUGGAAACUGGAGAACUUGAGUACAGAAGAGGAAAGCGGAAUACCACGUGUAGCGGUGAAAUGCGUAGAGAUGUGGAGGAACACCAGUGGCGAAGGCGGCUUUCUGGUCUGUAACUGACGCUGAGGCGCGAAAGCGUGGGGAGCAAACAGGGAUUAGAUACCCUGGUAGUCCACGCCGUAAACGAUGAGUGCUAAGUGUUAGGGGGGUUUCCGCCCCCUUAGUGCUGCAGCUAACGCAUUAAGCACUCCGCCUGGGGAUACGGCCGCAAGGCUG
This 373-nucleotide ribosomal RNA is filed under the name uncultured organism. Its description in RNAcentral is "partial 16S ribosomal RNA". It matches the Rfam family "Bacterial small subunit ribosomal RNA", at positions 527 to 896 of the family's 1533-position model. The record is from RNAcentral.